UCUUAAAGCUGUUCUCAGUUCGGACUGCAGUCUGCAACUCGACUGCACGAAGCUGGAAUCGCUAGUAAUCGCGGAUCAGCACGCCGCGGUGAAUACGUUCCCGGGCCUUGUACACACCGCCCGUCACACCAUGGAAGUCUGCAAUGCCCGAAGCCGGUGGCCUAACCACUUAUGUGGAAGGAGCCGUCUAAGGCAGGGCAGAUGACUGGGGUGAAGUCGUAACAAGGUACC
This 231-nucleotide ribosomal RNA is filed under the name uncultured bacterium. RNAcentral's name for it is "partial 16S ribosomal RNA". It matches the Rfam family "Bacterial small subunit ribosomal RNA", at positions 1274 to 1500 of the family's 1533-position model. The record is from RNAcentral.